Long non-coding RNA from Crocodylus porosus (Australian saltwater crocodile), 581 nucleotides. Lineage: Eukaryota; Metazoa; Chordata; Crocodylia; Crocodylidae. The record is from Ensembl.
GCUGGUGCUGCUGCUGCCCGGGAGCCCGGCCCGCGGCCCGGCGCGCAGGAGGAGGCAGGAGCUGGUGCUGGGGCAGCUCUGCUUGCUCGGCUCGCUCCUGCUGCUGCUCUCCUCGCUCUCCUGCUGGGCUGGCAGCGCCGGGUCCUGGGUUCUCCUGAGCUGCCAUGACCAGUUGUGGGUAUUACCUGAACUGAGCCACUUAUACUCAUUUCACUUGUGAUGAUGACCAAGACGAAACUCAGGUUUCCAGAAGAACUAGGCAUUUAGUCUCUGCCACUUACUCCUUUAAACUCCAUAGUUAGCGAAUGAAUGGUUAUGAUGUCCUGAGUUAUACCAUGGAAACUAAUGACAAGUGGCAUGGGAGAAAAGUACUUCAAGCAAUUGAGGAGAAUGCCACUGAAAUUCCAGAGGAUGACGAGCAUCAGUACAUCAAGAACUGCACUGAACCAGGGAAGGAUUUGACUAAGAUGAAGUUCCACUCUUUGAAGAUAAUGGGAAUCCUUCCAUCGGCUUCAGUGGAUUUGAGAUCAUCUCCUUUGUCGUGUGUAACUUUGAGUGCUGGACUGAAGGUGGAAACAUGA